RNAcentral lists this long non-coding RNA (344 nucleotides) under Homo sapiens (human). Its description in RNAcentral is "non-protein coding lnc-TEX30-1:1". The record is from RNAcentral. Lineage: Eukaryota; Metazoa; Chordata; Mammalia; Primates; Hominidae.
GAAAAGAUUGCAGUAGAAAUCCCAAAAAGAUUUGGACAGAGGCAGAGCCUAUGUCACUACACCUUAAAGGAUAACAAGGUUUAUAUCAAGACUCAUGGUGAACAUGUAGGUUUUAGAAUUUUCAUGGAUGCCAUACUACUUUCUUUGACUAGAAAGGUAAGUAUAUAUUUUCUCUUAGCUGUAAUAGAUAAUUUAAGCCCAGAUUUUACAGGAUAAUUUUUCAAAAUACAAAUUAUACACUAUCAGGGUAUUCUCUUCUGGAGCCUUAUGAUAAUACUAUUCUGAAGCUUUCUGUUAUUUCAGGUACCUGCGUUUGUUUCCUAGGGCUGCCGUAACAAAGUGCU